RNAcentral lists this unclassified non-coding RNA (225 nucleotides) under Basidiomycota sp. Its description in RNAcentral is "partial contains small subunit ribosomal RNA, internal transcribed spacer 1, and 5.8S ribosomal RNA". The stretch from base 1 to 47 matches the Rfam family "Eukaryotic small subunit ribosomal RNA", at positions 1785 to 1831 of the family's 1831-position model. Lineage: Eukaryota; Fungi; Basidiomycota. The record is from RNAcentral.
AAAGUCGUAACAAGGUUUCCGUAGGUGAACCUGCGGAAGGAUCAUUAGUGAAUAUUAGGGUGCUCUCUUUACUGAGAGGCCUGACCUCCACUAUCCAACACUGUGAACUUUUAUUAUGUGAAGGAGGCAGCAAUGUCAAAUUCGCAUUUUACUUAUAACACUAGUCAAAGAAUGCAACUAAAACAUAACAAAAAAAAACUUUCAACAACGGAUCUCUUGGCUCUC